CCUCCUGGUAGCCGCCGCGCGCUGCUUCACAGUUCACAGUUCACACCACCAGUCGGGAAUCAAGACACACACGGCCUGUUGCCUCUCGUGUUUCCAUCCGCAGGCGGCGACUCCAACACAAUGUCUUGUGAAGCCAACCUAUUCUCUAACGGCUAGCUGCUGCUACUCUCGCCAAGGCUGGAACCAGAACCUUCGUCUCUUCCUUGGUGCUAUAUCUAAGUUAGCUGCUAAUGGGAUAGUCAUAUACGGACCGGAUACGAUGGACUGGAUUUCAACUGGGUGGACAGAACGGACAUGACUCGGAGACAUGGUGGCAGAAAAAAAA
Sorghum bicolor (sorghum) is the source of this 325-nucleotide long non-coding RNA. RefSeq lists it as uncharacterized. The record is from RefSeq and is a predicted model, not a curated record. The transcript is spliced from 2 exons. NCBI's taxonomy places the organism in Eukaryota, Viridiplantae, Streptophyta, Magnoliopsida, Poales, Poaceae.